RNAcentral lists this ribosomal RNA (253 nucleotides) under uncultured bacterium. RNAcentral's name for it is "partial 16S ribosomal RNA". It matches the Rfam family "Bacterial small subunit ribosomal RNA", at positions 524 to 776 of the family's 1533-position model. The record is from RNAcentral.
UACGGAGGGCGCAAGCGUUGUUCGGAAUCACUGGGCGUAAAGCGCGUGUAGGCGGCCAGGCAAGUCGGGUGUGAAAUCCCGGGGCUCAACCUCGGAACUGCACUCGAAACUGCUUGGCUCGAGUCCCGGAGAGGGUGGCGGAAUUCCCGGUGUAGGGGUGAAAUCCGUAGAUAUCGGGAGGAACACCAGUGGCGAAGGCGGCCACCUGGACGGUGACUGACGCUGAGACGCGAAAGCGUGGGGAGCAAACAGG